CCUUAGGAGGGUGUGGGGUGGGGAUGGGGGAGGGAGGUUAUUUGCAUCUCAACAAAGCUCUGCAGUUAGGAAUCCACAGUCCCAGCCAGACACCAAGCCCCCAGCGCUGCUCUAAGCUUUUCAGACUGGGUCAUCACUGCAGUGACUUGAUUCAGGAGGAAAGUUUAGGCUCAUCGAGUUUUUUUUUCUCACCCGGGAGCAAUCAUGGGCAUGGGAUGAGAGGGGGAGAGUGGGGUUGUUUUCUUUGUAAAAUUAAAAAGGUGGGGGUAGCGGUAAAUGAAAAUAUUUAUAGCUUCUCAGUAUCAGGAGGGAAAAUCCCUUUUUCUCCAUUUAGAAGAGACGAUCCAUAAAUUAGCACAGUCUGCAGAAUCAAAAAGCUGAAGCUGUCGGUUGUAUUCUGAUCUCAUUAAGAGGCUCUGGAUUCUGUAGCAAAUGUUAAAAUAAUACUGACAUGUAAAUGAGAUCUCAAAGUGAAAUGGAAAGACCCAGUUAGCAGAGCAUUUUUUUUUCCCCCUUAUAAAUAUCUUUAAUCCUUCCACUCUUUUGGGUAUUGACUGGGUGCCAAGUGGAUUUACAUAUGAUUACAAAGCGCAAAGUGUGAAUACAGCCAGCCAGCCAUCCUGUUAAAAAUCUGGGUUGAAAACCACACGGAUUUGCUGAACAACAAUUUCGCAUUGGAGAGGUAUCACCAACUGCUGCCUAAAAACAUCCCCAGGAUGCCGGGGUGUGGAAACCAAGCCAAGCCUGGCUUCUGAAACAAUGAUUCCACUGGUUAAAUCCCAGUUUCUCAUCCAUUCCAGUUCUGAACUGGGUGCAAGAUUUUGGGGGCUGCUUUACAUCAGAAAGGAGGAGGAGAGCCAGAGCCCUGACAAAGGGCAGAGGAAAAUCCCUGACACUGCUCUGCACAAAGGUUUCUAUUUCUAGUUACCUCCACUUAACAGUCACUACAGCCACAAAAGAAUGAACUGCUGUGACCGGGGAAAGCCUACAAUAAGAAGUUAACAGUAUGAAAGCAGACACCCCCUGAAGGUAGUCACUACACUGGUAACUAACUAUACAGAAGAUCAUGUCUUUGAAAAAAAAUGACUCAGCCUCCUCAAAGCUUUAUAACCUUUGGGGGAAAGAACAUGCCUAAAAGUACCAACAAAUGUCUCCUAUCUGUACCACCCUGAGACUGAGAGGUUUCAAACAGAUAACCUGACUCCGAAGGACUGUAAUCUCAUG
Hipposideros armiger (great roundleaf bat) is the source of this 1224-nucleotide long non-coding RNA. RefSeq lists it as uncharacterized. The record is from RefSeq and is a predicted model, not a curated record. NCBI's taxonomy places the organism in Eukaryota, Metazoa, Chordata, Mammalia, Chiroptera, Hipposideridae. The transcript has 3 exons.